Takifugu rubripes (torafugu) is the source of this 2048-nucleotide long non-coding RNA. The record is from Ensembl. NCBI's taxonomy places the organism in Eukaryota, Metazoa, Chordata, Actinopteri, Tetraodontiformes, Tetraodontidae.
UUCAUUAAGAAAAUUUGAGGUGGUGAGAGUUUAUGUGUUAAGGUGUUUAGCCCAUGAUGUGUAAGAUAUUUGUUGUCGGAGUACGUUAAAAACUUAUAAAUUAUUCACGUUACUACAUUUAUUUUUCUUUUGUGUUCUUGACCAAGACCCAGUGAAAGCAAGGAAUUUACUGUAAUUAAAUCGUGGGGGAAAAGUUUAGUCAUAUAAAGCUGACAAUAAAACAGCAUAGAAAUGAAAAGUUGUCUUAUUUGCAUACAUUUAUUAAGACAGAGAUACCUCUCGUGAUUACAAUAAUCGCUAAUUCAUUGUCAAGGACACCACACCUUUCCAUAAAGAAAAAUGUAUGAAUAUCAUUACAUUUGAUGAGAAAGUUUAUCUUACAGAUUUACAUACAUAAUUUCCAAGUCAAGGUCAACCUGCUUUUGCAAACAAUUGGUCACUGUCUUUGAUGAGUUCUGGAGAAUGCGUGCUAAACAAACACUGGGACAUUCAAGGUGGACACAAAAUGGACACGCUAAUCAUUAGAAGCAAAUGAUUACCUUGUGUUUUCAGGCAGAAGCCGAGAUCAGCUUGAGGGGAGCAUUGCUGGAUCUGGUCCACUAGGCGGCGCGCUUGUGCCCUAUUAGCAGUACUAGGGUGUAGCUACUGAUCCUGUACUACAGCAGAGAGAGUGAGAGGGAGGAGGGACAUCAGGUGUCACCGCUCUGAUUCCUCGCAGUCCAAAGCCGCAUCGCCACGACAACCGGCUCCAGGGUCCCUUCCAGGGGUGUAUCGACGCCCGGCGUACACAGGUGUGCAGCCGCCGAUUCGCUCCAGGAUCUGUCCACCAAGCAAGUCCAGCACCAGACCAUUCGCCCCAAUCACCCAUCCACCAUCCAUCCGAACAGCACUUGUCUGGCAAUAUCCAGGAGUCAUCAAGGUUAGUGCACCUUUGGCACGCACAAAUGAUGUGCAGGCAUCGGGAGGAAACUUGUGAAUUUAUAGAUCUGCACUUAAACCAAAUGGCAGAUAAUCUAAUAAUGCAUUACGUAACAGAAAGAUGGAUGGAGGAGGGUAAACCAUUAAAAACUGUUCCUGGUCUCUAGCAGUCGAUAUGGGAAAAACCUUUUUUUUUAAAGGUGGGGACACACACACUUAGAGAUAAGCAGCUCUCUCCCUCAUUUGCAUAUCCACUUUUUCUUCCUUUCAUAUUAGGCUACACACAGCACAGAUUAUAAGAAUCACUGGAUUAAUUUAAAGCUGCACCGUUUUGCUAAUAAUUCAAAUACUGCCAGUGUUGGCGUUUCCUGCAGCUCAUCGGGAAGACGCGGCGAAAAAGACAAAGCUGGGCUAAAUGACUACCAACACCCAGGCCUUAUCACAGCUGUCUGGGUUUUCUGCGUGUGUGCAGAGGAGAAAGAUGAUGCGCAGACUCUCGUGCGUGCGCCGUGUCUUGAAUUUGACAGCCGAGGGUCGGGGAUUACGCUUUUAAUUCACUGUCCUGGAUGGCAUUUUGUCGAGUGGUGGUCGAAAUAUACGGCAGAGAGGAAAAGAGGAUGAUGGGGAGAAUACACAGCUGUACAUUCAAAUAUGACACGCCGGUAAGGGUGUGUCUCAUCGGUGUGUGUGUGUGUGUGUGUGUGUGAGAGACGGUGGGAAAUACGAGAGGGUUUGGCUUUUUUCUGUUGAUCUGAGCGAAAAUAUUAAUUCACAUCUGGACUAAUGUAGCUGAUUGCCUGUUUAAAGCAGCUGAUUGUUGCUAGAAGCAAAAUGAAUUUAUCCUGCAAUUAAUUAAAAUGAGGCAAACCCAACAAGCUCCCAAAAUGUAAUUUAAGAAUUUAAAAAGGGACAGAGGAGGAGGCCCGUUUUGCAGGGGUUUAUCUCAUUUAAAGAGAGUUAGAUAUUUGCUGCUCUUCUAACAAGGAUUUAGAAAUGUGACCCUUAAAGAGAUUGAGUUGGAAUGGCCGGGAUAUAGACGUAAUCUUGUUUUACUAACCUAUUUAAUUUGAAAGAUAUCGAUGUUCACGUUUGAGUCUGGGCAGCACGAGGACAGCUUUCAGCAUGUGUGU